CACCGCCUGGGGAGUACGACCGCAAGGUUAAAACUCAAAUGAAUUGACGGGGACCCGCACAAGUAGUAGAGCAUGUGGUUUAAUUCGAAGAUACGCGCAGAACCUUACCAACACUUGACAUGUUCGUCGCGACUCUAAGAGAUUAGAGUUUUCGGUUCGGCCGGACGAAACACAGGUGCUGCAUGGCUGUCGUCAGCUCGUGUCGUGAGAUGUUGGGUUAAGUCCCGCAACGAGCGCAACCCUUACUUUUAGUUGCUACCAUUCAGUUGGGCACUCUAAAAGAACUGCCAGUGAUAAGCUGGAGGAAGGUGGGGAUGACGUCAAGUCCUCAUGGCCCUUAUGUGUUGGGCUACACACGUGCUACAAUGGUAUUUACAGUGAGAUGCAAAGAGGCGACUCCAAGCAAACCCUCAAAAAGUACCUCAGUUCGGAUUGUACUCUGCAACUCGAGUACAUGAAGCUGGAAUUACUAGUAAUCGCGGAUCAGCGCGCCGCGGUGAAUACGUUCCCGGGUCUUGUACACACCGCCCGUCACACCAUGGAAGUUGGUUACACCUUAAGGCAAAGUGUAAAACCUUUGACUACGGUACGAUCAGCGACUGGGGUGAAGUCGUAACAAGGUAGCCGUAGGGGAACCUGCGGCUGGAUCACCUCCUUUCUAAGGAAAUCGAAAAUGUUAUUUUCGAUUUAAAAAAAACCGGUAAUGUGACCGUCCUCAUUUCUCUUCUUUUAAUGUCUCUGAGUAAAAAUUAAGGGGCCGGUAGCUCAGGUGGUUAGAGCGCACCCCUGAUAAGGGUGAGGUCGGAAGUUCGAAUCUUCCUCGGCCCACCAAAGAUUUCGGGGGAUUAGCUCAGCUGGGAGAGCGCCUGAUUUGCAUUCAGGAGGUCAGCGGUUCGAUCCCGCUAUCCUCCACCAAAGUUUGAGACAUUUAGCUUUUUUAAAUUGUGAAUAUUAAUAUUAUCAAUAUCUAUAUCCGAUUGUUUUCAGAUAUUUUUUUGAAAACAAUCAAAACAAAAAUUUGAAUUUUACACAGAAAUUUUUUUUCUG
This 1047-nucleotide small RNA is filed under the name uncultured Pelagibacterales bacterium. RNAcentral's name for it is "bacterial SSU rRNA". The stretch from base 1 to 658 matches the Rfam family "Bacterial small subunit ribosomal RNA", at positions 867 to 1533 of the family's 1533-position model. Lineage: Bacteria; Pseudomonadati; Pseudomonadota; Alphaproteobacteria; Candidatus Pelagibacterales. The record is from RNAcentral.